GAAAUGCUGUCUCUACUAAAAAUACAAAAACUACCCAGGCAUGGUGGCACACACCUGUAAUCCCAGCUACUUGGGAGGCUGUGGCAGGAGAAUCACUUGAACCCGGGAGGCGGAGGUUACAGUGAGCUGAGAUCAUGCCACGGCACUCCAGCCCAGGUGACAGAUCUAAACUCCAUCUCAAAAAAUUAAAAAAUAAUAAUAAUAAAAUUAAAGGCCCUCAGGAGGUGCUAUGCACAACUGGUGUUGAGGACCACUGGCUGGGGAUGAGGUCUAUGGUGUCUUAAGCUCUGAGAUCUGGGAUGCUGGAUGACUUAUGUGGAAGAAAUUCUAGAGACAUGAGUUUGCUAUGAACUGAGCUGGUGAAGAUUUGGAAUUAAAGGAAAGGGGGAGGGAAAAGAAAAGCUAAAGGACCAGAGGAGACAGGCCAGAUUGUUGUUUUCGCUGUUAGUGAGCUAGAGAAACUUGGUUCCUCUGUUUCUAGGCUUUUGAGGCAAAAUAAAAGGCCCACAAAAAUCCAAAAGGUCUGAUAACCCAGUCCCUUCUCAUAAAAAGAAUAGCUAUCAAGCCUGAUAUCAGACAUGGAGAUUAGGCAGGAAACACUGAGCUAAGAAUAUUCCCUUCCUUCGAUUAAAGACCUUUUUUUUUAAAUUAAUGCUCUCCUAG
Molecule: long non-coding RNA, 663 nt
Filed under: Homo sapiens (human)
Lineage: Eukaryota; Metazoa; Chordata; Mammalia; Primates; Hominidae
Description: long non-coding RNA NONHSAT154176
Source: RNAcentral